UACAGAGGUCUCAAGCGUUGUUCGGAUUCAUUGGGCGUAAAGGGUGCGUAGGUGGCGGGGUAAGUCAGGUGUGAAAUCUCGGGGCUCAACCCCGAAACUGCACCUGAUACUGCCUUGCUCGAGUACUGGAGAGGAGAUUGGAAUUUACGGUGUAGCAGUGAAAUGCGUAGAUAUCGUAAGGAAGACCAGUGGCGAAGGCGAAUCUCUGGACAGUUACUGACACUGAGGCACGAAGGCCAGGGGAGCAAACGGG
RNAcentral lists this ribosomal RNA (253 nucleotides) under uncultured bacterium. RNAcentral's name for it is "partial 16S ribosomal RNA". It matches the Rfam family "Bacterial small subunit ribosomal RNA", at positions 524 to 776 of the family's 1533-position model. The record is from RNAcentral.